Molecule: long non-coding RNA, 863 nt
Organism: Triticum dicoccoides
Lineage: Eukaryota; Viridiplantae; Streptophyta; Magnoliopsida; Poales; Poaceae
Exons: 4
Source: RefSeq, a predicted model, not a curated record
GUCCUGGUUGUGGACGACGCCGCCCCGCCCCGCCCUCACUCUCUUCUGCACGAUAACCUAUCCGCCGCAGUUCACCGCUCUUCUCCGGCUCCUCACGCCGCCCUCGUCUCCAUUGCGGUGGCACCUCCCUGUACGGCAGAAUAGCUAGCGGCGUGCGGGCAGAAGCUGCACGCUUUACUGCUGUGCCGGCAAGUGGGAAGCAAGCACGGGAGGCUCGUGUAGGCGGGUGGCUAUGGAGAACGGCCCGCUCAAACCGCCGCCCUCGUUGUCGUCUCCCUUGACCUCCUCAUCUUCAAGCCCCACCGCUAGCUCGGCCCUCUAGAGUCAUCUCCCUUUUGGUUCAAGCUCGGCUCAGGGAAGAGAUUCAGGACCAUGCAUGCUUCUGGCACUAAUUCAGAAAUAUAGUAUUAAUCAAAGAUAUUCAAGUUUAUACAAUAAGCUAUACAUCAUCUAAACUCAAGUGGAUAUGCCAGGGAAAGAGAGAACAUUGGAUGGAGGAAUUAUGCAAUUAAAGUGGCAUGAUCAUCAAAGAUAAAUUAAAUCAUGGAAACCCCCAGCUAGCUAGCAGAACUACACACAUGAAUGACUGUUGAUUAUAGCCGAUGUGACACAAUGAUGUGAGGAAACCCAAGCAUAAGAGAAGUGAUAUGCAAAAUCAGUCCGAAAUGACAAUCCGACAAAGGCUGCUCCACUGGGUAGCAAAUGAAACCUUUCAAGUUUGGCUGUUGCUCCAUUUUGUUAUAUAUUCCUUUGUCCAGUUGAUUCCUUUUGGUCCUUAUUAGAGUUGUGUUUCCAAGAAGCUUAUUCGAUCAGGAUAUAAGCAAUAUGACAUUGCCUUUUUUCGUGCAGAUUUGGAUACAUGG